RNAcentral lists this long non-coding RNA (3260 nucleotides) under Triticum aestivum (bread wheat). RNAcentral's name for it is "long non-coding RNA (TAES_LNC023845)". The record is from RNAcentral. Lineage: Eukaryota; Viridiplantae; Streptophyta; Magnoliopsida; Poales; Poaceae.
GUGUGCUUUAUUUGCAAGAUUUAUAUGACUUAAACAAGAACUUGUUAAAUAAUAUGAGUGCAUAUAAGUAGAUUGAUCUUGCCUCUUAUGUAGUCUGGUAGAUUUGGAAAGAAAGGAAUUGCAGAUUUUGUCUGGACAAAGAGAUGAAGCCAGAAAGGUAAAUGUCUCAAGUUCUACAGAAUGUUCGCCUCAUAUUGGAGGCAUUUGAAACAAGCCUUUGCUACUGUACAUCCAAGCUGGGUUCUUGAUGUUAAUUUCAUUUAUACGCAUAGUAAUAAAUUUUGCCCCUGGCUUCCUAAGCAUAUACUUUGUUCCUGGCUAGGAAUAAUUUCCAAACAGUUUUACAAAUGGUGAAAAAGAAAGGGUUUUGUUUACUAUUUUUUAUGACCGUGGACUCAUGAGUUCAUAACAUAUAAUGUAUUAUUUGUGUUCAUUCCUUUAAUGUGGAUUAUAACAUGAUCUACCUUUGCAUAAACAUCAAGGACUACUUUUGGUUCAUAUUCAUGCAUCCACUUCUCGAUAUUGAGAUUUUUCACAUAUACUGAACUUGUCUUAGUCAGCCCAACUCAGCUGUAUGUGUGACAUUUAUAAGAUGACUCCGUAAAAUUCAUAGAAGACACUAUUCUUUUAUUCUGUUCUUUUGUUUCUUCCAGAUUUUGCUCUCCUUGCUUAUAUUUCGAUAUUGUUAAUUUGAUUAGAUGACUCGGUCGAUGAUGUUGGGCAUGUCCAUGGUAUCCAUUAAAAAACUUAAAAAAAGUCUUGCACCGGAAUAAAAUUAGAUAGCACACCACUUAUGAGUCGAAACAUAUGCAAGCCAAGCCGGUACCAUAAAAUUAGUAGAUUAGGUCCAUUCCAGCCGCUAAUUCUUUGUGCCAAUGCUAAGUAUGUGAUGAUCUUUCCACAAAAAAUCAAGUUUGUAUAGAGUGACCAAUGCUAAGUAUGUGAUAAGCUUGCACUGACUUUUAGUUACAUCUGAUGAUCUUUCCACAAAAAAUGUAUUAUAGAGUGUAAUAUUUACAGUGUGGGGAUGUUGGUGGCCAAGAAAGUUUAUGCCCUUGUGAAGACAUUACUAUGAAAUCCUAAGUUAUCCUGUAAAAAGGAUUCUUAUGAUACGCAUGUAAAGCAACUUCUGAACUUUUAUGUAGAUAUUUAAGUGCCAAUACCAUCUUUUGGUAUAACACAAAAAAAUCAAGUUUUGAGGCCAGAGAUUUACCUUGCUUUUGCAUGUGCAUUACUUUAGCUAUUCAACCUGCCGUCGAGCUUUUAGUUGAAGUUCACUAAAUUUCUUAUAUCGGCAUUUCAGGGAUAAUACGAUUGACCCAACUGUUACCGGUGCAAUGCUUUUGGGGUCGACCAAAACAUUUAAAAAUGUUAAAUGUGGUUAUGUGAUAAAAUCAAGUAUGAAGGAGGAAGAGAUCAACACCAGCCGCGGCAACAAAGAUGACAGUGUGUCUCACUGAGCAUGAGCAAUGGCACACUCUUGUCGAGUACCUACCAAGAUGCUUCCCUGGUCAGACUUCGAGCACUUCCUCCUUGCCGCCGCCGCCUUGGCUAAUGUUGUUGUUUCCUUGGAUAAGCCGUAUCAGGUUGGUUCCAUUGCACUGCAAAUACUACCACUUCUAUUGGGCAACUAAAUACAACUUGCAAGCACGGGAAAACAUGUACACCAAUGUUGUCGGGCGCGCGGAAGCCAAUUCCUUGGGUCACCCAUUGUACAUCUGCUGCUCUAACAGUAACCAUGCCUUGCUCCCAGUAAAUUUGAGCUCGCAGCCAUUUAGGUAGAUUCUUGUCAUGCUCACAUCUAGCAGCAAGAAAAAAGAGAAGCAGAUGACCAGAGUGUAAUGUCUUAGUGGUAGUGUAGACCACCAAGAUAUGAUGCUCUAAUCCAAAAUAUUAUAGGAAUAUCUACUUACUUUAACCACUUUUCGUAAUUGGUAUUUAAUCCAUCUACAUGUAGAAACACGAAAUGCAGAUAUUGUUUUGUUGAGAAAUUUUAUGAUUUGCCCAAAUGAUUAUGGACCGUACAUUGAUAAUGAUCUAAUGGUUAGGAUGAUGCAUCAUUUGAUAAUUCAAGAAAAUGUCGUGUCUUUACAGAAAUGUUCAAUUCCCCCUCAGUUUGAACUUGUAAGGUAUUAAUUUUUUAAAAAUUCAAACUUACCUAAUUUUCACCAAUUUUAUAGAAUAAAACAUAAAUAUCUACUAUAGAAAAUCAUUAUCAUUAGAUUCAUGAUGAAGUAUAUUUCCAUAUUUGAUUUAUUUAGUAUUGUAGGUGUUAGAUGUAUUUUGCUACAGAUUUGAUCAAACAUAGGAAACUUUGACUUUUGAAAAUUUAAUUCAUCUUAUAUUUUGACACACAUGGAGUAGUAAUCGCUGGGACCAGAUCCAUGCACCAUCAUCUGAAACCCAUGUAUUCAUGAGGUGUGAUGUUAAUUUUAACAAAUCUGCCCAUGGACAGAACCUCGAUACCAUGAUUCACAGACCAGCCCACAUAGAAUUUCUGUAGACUGACAUAUGCGCCGAGCUCAUCUUGUGGUAUGUCCCUGAACUUUUCUGAUGACAAUGCUCUUAGUUGGGAUGCCAUCAGGCUCCAAACCAAACCAAAGCAAACCUGGGAGCACUUUACUUAACAAUAAAUUAAGAUAACUUUUGCAUAAGGUUUUGUUGUAAUUCGUUACCAAGAUGGGUAGCACUGUAUAGUUUCCUAGCAGCAACAUUUGGCCAGCUUCUUAGAUUUUAUCUGCAUGAAUAGUAGAUUUUCUCAUUUUGAUUUAGAACAUUGUAAAUGUUCACGUCAGCUGCCAGAUUAACAUAAUGGAACGUCUCAGGUGUAUUUGAAGGUUGCCAGUUUAGGUGGGCCAAACAACCAGUGCGCUGAGGUCAAAAUAAGCAUGACACCAGCUUUAUUCUUUUAGGGGUCGCCUACAUGAUGAAGGAUGCUCAGGCACACAUCAUUGUUGGGUUUUCGCAUGUCAUGUCAUACUUGGUCUGUAACUGAAUCUUGAGAAUUCAUUUGUAUGACUUGAUGUACAGACGUGUUAUUCAUAAUGAAAAUAAUAUCAUUGUAUGUGCUUAAAAUAUUAUGUCAUAACUCUGUAAAAAAUGGCAUCUUCUACUAGAUAAAGAAGUGAUAAUGGUAAAAAAAAUCUUUGGGCAGUCUCCAUGUGUAGAAGGUUGGAACGUUAGAUAUUAGGAAGUGUGCAUUAAUUCUCCCGAUGGAAAAUCGCCCAGCUAGGGAAUGAGAAUAGCGACACGAAAUCCAG